Molecule: unclassified non-coding RNA, 24 nt
Filed under: Mus musculus (house mouse)
Lineage: Eukaryota; Metazoa; Chordata; Mammalia; Rodentia; Muridae
Description: oocyte_clustered_small_RNA8314
Source: RNAcentral
AGCAUCUGGCAGCCCUCCCGCAUC